This 445-nucleotide ribosomal RNA is filed under the name uncultured bacterium. Its description in RNAcentral is "partial 16S ribosomal RNA". It matches the Rfam family "Bacterial small subunit ribosomal RNA", at positions 354 to 796 of the family's 1533-position model. The record is from RNAcentral.
GUAGGGAAUAUUGGGCAAUGGAUGCAAGUCUGACCCAGCCAUGCCGCGUGGAGGAAGAAGGUCCUCUGGAUUGUAAACUCCUUUUUUGGGGGAAGAAUAGUUCUCUUGCGAGGGAAUGUGACGGUACCCUAAGAAUAAGCCACGGCUAACUACGUGCCAGCAGCCGCGGUAAUACGUAGGUGGCAAGCGUUGUCCGGAUUUAUUGGGUUUAAAGGGUGCGUAGGUGGUUUGAUAAGUCAGUGGUGAAAGCUGGUUGCUCAACAAUCAAGUUGCCAUUGAUACUGUCGGACUUGAGAGAAGUGGAGGUUCAUGGAAUGGAUGGUGUAGCGGUGAAAUGCAUAGAUAUCAUCCAGAACGUCGAUUGCGAAGGCAGUGGGCUGUACUUUAUCUGACACUGAGGCACGAAAGUGUGGGGAUCAAACAGGAUUAGAAACCCCUGUAGUCC